CGAACUGGCGAACAUUUAGGGGAAGCCCUGCACCGUGGGUGGCUGGCGAAAUUGCUGACAAAAUGCUUCGAACCUCCUGCCCACAAGUCAACCAUCAAGAAUCCACUACGUUAGAUUAGGAAAAACCGAGAAGGAUAGGCGCCUACCAUGGGAUACUUUUGACACCACAUCGAUAUGUUUUGAUUGCACCGCCCUGGCCUUGGUGCUGAACGCGACUCUCCAUUUGGGCUUUUGCCUAGAUGAAUAGAAGAGGAAAGAACUCGGACCAACAAGCCAGGAAAAAGUCUCUCAUCAAACGGACCCCAUCUAUGUGCUGGAGAACAACAUCCCCAUCAACACUAAGUACUACCUUGACCAACAGCUGUCCAAACCUGUGCUCCGUAUCUUUGAGCCAAUCCUGGGAGAGUCCAAGGCCACCUCUGUACUACUCAAGGGGGAGCACACCCUGAGCAAGACUGUCGUUUCCUCAAAGAUCAGCGCCCUUGCUGGCUUUGUGAAAAAAUGCAGCACCUGUAUUGGCUGUAAGACUGUCCUACAGAAGAAUUAUAAGGGACGGUCGUCUGCAAGUAUUGCAAGGAGAAAUUGCUUUACGAAAAGAUGAUCUGCUUAGUUUCAAUGAUUAAAGAGAACUACUGCUUUAGUACUGCAUACUGAAUAUAACGACAAUGACAGGGUUAUGAGAUCAGACUUUUACAACUGUACAACUAAGCCAAACUGCAACAACUGUAGGACUGUACUUCUAACAUUCCAGACUCAUUCAGUUUGAUGUGGCAGUGGGGAUCAAAAUUAUAAAGUAAUCAAUGACAUAUGAUAUUAAAAAAGGAUCCUAUUGAAAUAUGAUUGUACACAUGUUGCCUACUCUCAAUGGGAUUGGAAUAAAAUAUCUGUGACUAUCAA
Long non-coding RNA from Branchiostoma floridae (Florida lancelet), 897 nucleotides. RefSeq lists it as uncharacterized. The record is from RefSeq and is a predicted model, not a curated record. Lineage: Eukaryota; Metazoa; Chordata; Leptocardii; Amphioxiformes; Branchiostomatidae. The transcript is spliced from 4 exons.